GGCUACGGCCAUGCCACCCUGAACAAGCCUGAUCCUGUCUGAUCUUAGAAGCUAAGCAGGGUCGGGUCUGGUUAGUACUUGGAUGGGAGACCACCAAGAAGACCAGGUGCUGUAGGAA
This 118-nucleotide ribosomal RNA is filed under the name Pteropus alecto (black flying fox). Lineage: Eukaryota; Metazoa; Chordata; Mammalia; Chiroptera; Pteropodidae. The record is from RNAcentral.